ACGCAGCUUGCUGCGUGUAUGGUUAGUGGCAGACGGGUGAGUAAUGCAUAGGAAUCUACCUAGUAGUAUGGGAUAGCCACUAGAAAUGGUGGGUAAUACUGUAUAAUCCCUGCGGGGGAAAGAUUUAUCGCUAUUAGAUGAGCCUAUGUCAGAUUAGCUAGUUGGUGGGGUAAUGGCCUACCAAGGCGGUGAUCUGUAGCUGGUCUGAGAGGAUGAUCAGCCACACUGGAACUGAGACACGGUCCAGACUCCUACGGGAGGCAGCAGUGGGGAAUAUUGGACAAUGGGCGCAAGCCUGAUCCAGCUAUGCCGCGUGAGUGAGGAAGGCCUUAGGGUUGUAAAACUCUUUCAGUAGGGAAGAUAAUGACGGUACCUACAGAAGAAGUCCCGGCAAACUC
RNAcentral lists this ribosomal RNA (398 nucleotides) under Anaplasma marginale. RNAcentral describes it as "bacterial SSU rRNA". It matches the Rfam family "Bacterial small subunit ribosomal RNA", at positions 73 to 503 of the family's 1533-position model. Lineage: Bacteria; Pseudomonadati; Pseudomonadota; Alphaproteobacteria; Rickettsiales; Anaplasmataceae. The record is from RNAcentral.